AGAGCGAACGCUGGCGGCAGGCUUAACACAUGCAAGUCGAGCGCCCCGCAAGGGGAGCGGCAGACGGGAGAGUAACACGUGGGAACGUACCUUUCGGUUCGGAACAACCCAGGGAAACUUGGGCUAAUACCGGAUACGUCCGUAAGGAGAAAGAUUUAUCGCCGAAAGAUCGGCCCGCGUCUGAUUAGCUAGUUGGUGAGGUAACGGCUCACCAAGGCGACGAUCAGUAGCUGGUCUGAGAGGAUGAUCAGCCUCACUGGGACUGAGACACGGCCCAGACUCCUACGGGAGGCAGCAGUGGGGAAUAUUGGACAAUGGGCGCAAGCCUGAUCCAGCCAUGCCGCGUGGGUGAUGAAGGCCCUAGGGUUGUAAAGCCCUUUCGGCGGGGAAGAUAAUGACGGUACCCGCAGAAGAAGCCCCGGCUAACUUCGCGCCAGCAGCCGC
This 444-nucleotide ribosomal RNA is filed under the name uncultured bacterium. Its description in RNAcentral is "SSU rRNA". It matches the Rfam family "Bacterial small subunit ribosomal RNA", at positions 26 to 518 of the family's 1533-position model. The record is from RNAcentral.